GUCUCAUUAGCUCAAUGGUAGAGCCGAAUACUUCUAAUAUUCUGAUUUUAGUUCGAAUCUGAAAUGAGAUA
Molecule: transfer RNA, 71 nt
Organism: Colletotrichum orchidophilum
Lineage: Eukaryota; Fungi; Ascomycota; Sordariomycetes; Glomerellales; Glomerellaceae
Rfam family: tRNA
About the family: Transfer RNA (tRNA) molecules are approximately 80 nucleotides in length.
Source: Rfam